AAAGGUCCAUGUUCAAUUCUUGGAUGAUCAUAUCUAUAUAUAUUUCACAUAUCAUAUAGGUAGCUAUACGUGUAUCAUGUUUAAUGUCACCUUCUUUGCUUGAGUUCAUAUCAUGUGGGAGCUAAGAUAAUGUUUUGGAGCAAACGGGUAAACGAGGCCUACAAUUAAAGAUUUAUUUCAAAGAAAGACUCAUAACCAAAGUUCAAUUCUUGGAUGAUCAUACCUAUAAAUAUAUGGCAUAUCACAUUGAGGUCAUAUCAUGUGGGAGCUAAGACAAUGUUUUGGAGUAAAUUGGUAAACGAGGCCUAAAAUUAAACAUUUAUUUUGAAAGUAAGACUCAUAUGCAAAUACAAAAAAUAAGGUAAAUACAAUAAAGAACAAAAAGACAAAAAAUAAGGAAAGUUCACAAAAACAUUUGUGAGGCCCAAAAUUGAGCCAGUGACUCCAUGGACUACACCAACAUACUAAACCAUUGGGGUACUCAUAUUUUUAUGCUAAAUAACCAUAUUCAUAUUAUUUGAACAGUGUAUAAACCUAAGUCAUCAAUGCAAAUAAGCCACUGGUUCGCCUCCCAAUUUUCCCACUAAUCCCACCACCCCUUGAAAUCUCCCCUCCAUAUUUCCUAACAAAAGCAACUGAAAGGCCGGCACUCUACCC
This 657-nucleotide long non-coding RNA is filed under the name Setaria viridis. Its description in RNAcentral is "long non-coding RNA (SVIR_LNC000600)". The record is from RNAcentral. Lineage: Eukaryota; Viridiplantae; Streptophyta; Magnoliopsida; Poales; Poaceae.